UUCCGGUUGAUCCUGCCAGAGGUCACUGCUNUCGGGGUUCGAUUAAGCCAUGCGAGUCGAGAGGGUUCGGCCCUCGGCGUACUGCUCAGUAACACGUGGAUAACCUGCCCUAGGGGAGGGGAUAACCCCGGGAAACUGGGGAUAAUACCCUAUAGGUUACAGAUGCUGGAAUGCCCUGUAACCAAAAGCUCCGGCGCCCUAGGAUGGAUCUGCGGCCGAUUAGGUUGUUGUUGGGGUAACGGCCCAACAAGCCCGUAAUCGGUACGGGUUGUGGGAGCAAGAGCCCGGAGUUGGAUUCUGAGACACGAAUCCAGGCCCUACGGGGCGCAGCAGGCGCGAAACCUUUACAAUGCGGGCAACCGUGAUAAGGGAACCUCGAGUGCCUGUAAACGCAGGCUGUUCAGGUGUUUAAAACGCACCUGGAGAAAGGGCCGGGCAAGACCGGUGCCAGCCGCCGCGGUAAUACCGGCGGCUCGAGUGGUGGCCGCUUUUAUUGGGCUUAAAGCGUUCGUAGCUGGGUUGUUAAGUCUCUUGGGAAAUCUGGCGGCUUAACCGUCAGGCGUCUAAGGGAUACUGGCAAUCUUGGAACCGGGAGAGGUGAGGGGUACUUCGGGGGUAGGGGUGAAAUCCUGUAAUCCUCGAGGGACCACCUGUGGCGAAGGCGCCUCACCAGAACGGCUUCGACAGUGAGGGACGAAAGCUGGGGGAGCAAACCGGAUUAGAUACCCGGGUAGUCCCAGCCGUAAACGAUGCGCGUUAGGUGUAUCGGUGACCACGAGUUACCGAGGUGCCGAAAGGAA
RNAcentral lists this ribosomal RNA (800 nucleotides) under uncultured archaeon. RNAcentral's name for it is "bacterial SSU rRNA". It matches the Rfam family "Archaeal small subunit ribosomal RNA", at positions 1 to 810 of the family's 1478-position model. The record is from RNAcentral.